Molecule: long non-coding RNA, 722 nt
Organism: Helicoverpa armigera (cotton bollworm)
Lineage: Eukaryota; Metazoa; Arthropoda; Insecta; Lepidoptera; Noctuidae
Exons: 2
Source: RefSeq, a predicted model, not a curated record
UUUUCAUGCCCCAAAUAAUCUUUUUUUCAACCGCCAUCGUUGUUAUGAUUUUUUAAAAGGAUGCACGUUACCUAUAUGUACAAUUUAAUACGCAAAAGUAAUAACUAGGUAAUUAUCAUAAUAGUUUAAUUCUAGAGUAAUCCAAAACAAAACAGGAGUUAUCUGUGUAUAUUGUAUUGUAUUGUGUAUCUAUGUAUAUUAUAGAAGCUAGCCUGGUACAUACUAAACACUGCACUUUAGUGAAAAACAACAUAUUUCUAGGUAGUACCUAUGCAGAUAAACAUUCCUAGUUUUUGUUAAACUAAUGAGUUUAGUAAAUUACCGACUUCAUUAACCAUGACGGCGAUGUACUAUAUAAAGGUGCAUCCGCAUGACCGAAUUGUGAAUUGUCUUCAGGAACCAUAACAGAAACCCAAAAUGAAAUUGUUUGCAUUGAUCGCUCUGCUGUUAUGCGCAAUACUGGCUGGUGCGCACGUUGUCUAUGCUGCGGCCGAUCCUGAUCAGCCAGCAUUAGUAAGAGAAGCUCGCAGCCCAACUAAAGGCAAGAUCUACAAAGGCCAUGGAUACGGACACGGGUAGAGAGAACAGCAUUUGGGCCUACACAUUAUAAUAUAUUAUGAACUACGUAAUAAGGGGCUGGUAGUUGAAACUAUCUUUUAAUAUGUAAAACGUUAAUUUCUUUUAUGUUAUAAAUGUCUUGGGAAUAAAAUGUUAGCAAAAUA